Molecule: non-coding RNA, 121 nt
Organism: Picea glauca (white spruce)
Lineage: Eukaryota; Viridiplantae; Streptophyta; Pinopsida; Pinales; Pinaceae
Source: Rfam
AUAUGCCUACAGCAUAGCAUUAAUGCACUGGAUCCCAUUAGAACUCCACAGUUAAGCAUGCUCAAUCUAGAGUAAUAUUGGGAUGUGUGACCGAUUGGGAAGUCCUAGUGUUUUACAUGCC